RNAcentral lists this ribosomal RNA (453 nucleotides) under Bacillus cereus. RNAcentral's name for it is "bacterial SSU rRNA". It matches the Rfam family "Bacterial small subunit ribosomal RNA", at positions 39 to 472 of the family's 1533-position model. The record is from RNAcentral. Lineage: Bacteria; Bacillati; Bacillota; Bacilli; Caryophanales; Bacillaceae.
GCGGCGUGCCUAAUACAUGCAAGUCGAGCGAAUGGAUUAAGAGCUUGCUCUUAUGAAGUUAGCGGCGGACGGGUGAGUAACACGUGGGUAACCUGCCCAUAAGACUGGGAUAACUCCGGGAAACCGGGGCUAAUACCGGAUAACAUUUUGAACCGCAUGGUUCGAAAUUGAAAGGCGGCUUCGGCUGUCACUUAUGGAUGGACCCGCGUCGCAUUAGCUAGUUGGUGAGGUAACGGCUCACCAAGGCAACGAUGCGUAGCCGACCUGAGAGGGUGAUCGGCCACACUGGGACUGAGACACGGCCCAGACUCCUACGGGAGGCAGCAGUAGGGAAUCUUCCGCAAUGGACGAAAGUCUGACGGAGCAACGCCGCGUGAGUGAUGAAGGCUUUCGGGUCGUAAAACUCUGUUGUUAGGGAAGAACAAGUGCUAGUUGAAUAAGCUGGCACCUUGA